GGGUGUAUGGCUCAGUUGGUAGAGCACUGGGCCCUUAACCUAAUGGUCGCAGGUUCAAGUCCCGCUAUGCCCA
This 73-nucleotide transfer RNA is filed under the name Isoetes engelmannii (Engelmann's quillwort). Its description in RNAcentral is "tRNA-Lys". It matches the Rfam family "tRNA". From Rfam's summary of the family: Transfer RNA (tRNA) molecules are approximately 80 nucleotides in length. Their secondary structure includes four short double-helical elements and three loops (D, anti-codon, and T loops). Further hydrogen bonds mediate the characteristic L-shaped molecular structure. tRNAs have two regions of fundamental functional importance: the anti-codon, which is responsible for specific mRNA codon recognition, and the 3' end, to which the tRNAs corresponding amino acid is attached (by aminoacyl-tRNA synthetases). tRNAs cope with the degeneracy of the genetic code in two manners: having more than one tRNA (with a specific anti-codon) for a particular amino acid; and 'wobble' base-pairing, i.e. permitting non-standard base-pairing at the 3rd anti-codon position. The record is from RNAcentral. Lineage: Eukaryota; Viridiplantae; Streptophyta; Lycopodiopsida; Isoetales; Isoetaceae.